This 309-nucleotide unclassified non-coding RNA is filed under the name uncultured bacterium. RNAcentral describes it as "contains 16S-23S intergenic spacer region". The record is from RNAcentral.
AACGGACUUGUUUCUUAAGCUGACCAUGUCUUUCAAUUCAAAAACCUUCUUCAGGUAAUUGUUCCCUUGUUUAGCUGCAGGUUCAGGUUGAGUGUCCUCUACAGAUAACUUUUCUUCUUUUUCUUCUCCAGUUGCUGCUACAGCAGCUUGGGGGAUGUGUUCAUCAUGAGGAACUGUGUCAUUAAUAAUGCUUCCAAGAGACUCAACCACCUCGCUCAUUUUUGGACGGGAUUUCGGCUGCUUCAUGAGGCACUUGUUUGCUAGGAUUGCAAGUUUAUGAGCUGAUUUGAUGCAGUAUUGUCCCUUAAG